UAGAAGUCAGGUCGGAUUAAGCCAUAGUACGGAAAAAACUAUGCUACCUGUGAGCCCCGUCCAAGGACGUUAAAAGAAGUCAGGCCAUCAUAAAUGCCAUAGCUCGAGYAAACUAUGCUGCCUGUAGCUCCACCUGAGAAGGUGUAAAAAAUCUGGGAGGCCACAAACCAUGGAAGCUGUACGCAUGG
This 188-nucleotide long non-coding RNA is filed under the name dengue virus type 2. RNAcentral describes it as "Dengue virus 2 partial sfRNA1". The record is from RNAcentral. Lineage: Riboviria; Orthornavirae; Kitrinoviricota; Flasuviricetes; Amarillovirales; Flaviviridae.